This 1022-nucleotide long non-coding RNA is filed under the name Junco hyemalis (dark-eyed junco). RNAcentral describes it as "lncRNA (ENSJHYG00000017455.1)". Lineage: Eukaryota; Metazoa; Chordata; Aves; Passeriformes; Passerellidae. The record is from RNAcentral.
GGAUGAGCUUGUGGACAGGAGGGCUGAGCUGGCCAGGACAGUCACCAAGCUCUGCAACACCUGCAGGGUGAUGGUCACUGAGGCAGGCUACAGAGCUGCCACCGCCACCGCCCAGGCCAGGGAGCUACAGGCCGUGGUUGCCCGUUCUGGGACAGCUCAGGAAAACAUGGUGGAGCUGGGUCAGGCCCUGGGCUGGGAGGAGGGGGCCGAGGUGGCAGCUGGGCAUGAAGCCCAGGUGAGGAGAGAGGCCAGGGUGGCUGCCAGCGAGGCAACAAGGGCCACCAUGGUGAGACAGCGGCUGGUGGUGGCCCUGGGGCUGCUGGAGCGCUUGGUGGCCGCGUGUGACGAAGCCACCGCGUUCCCCCGGGAGCUGCAGCGCCUGCUCAGGGACACCGAAGGCAUCCUGAAGGAGACAAAGAAGCAGUCCCUUAAUGUCCUUGAGGACUUGGUGGCCAAGGUGGCUGUGGCCGAGCGGCUGUGGGAGGCCAACGCCCGCCUGGCCAAGGAUCACCUGGGGAAGACACUUCCAGACACAAUCAAAUUCUUUUUCAAUGGUGGUCUUGACAGCCCCUGCUCCUGUGGGGUGGCCAAGCAGUGCCAAAGAGCCAUCAAGGACAUCCCAAGGCUCAUUCGACCCCCUGAAUGUCCCCAAGUUGUCCCCAAGUUGUCCCCAUUGAGCAUGGAGCUCCAAGAGGUGCGACUGACUGGGAGGCCAGGGGGAGGGAUGGGUCACUGUGGAGGAAGGGGGCAAUGGGGCAUGGAGGGGACACAGGGGGUAGCAGGAGGAUACAGGGGGCUGCAAAGGGGAAAGGAGGGAGUGGCAGGAAAGAGGGAGAUGACAGAGGGUUGGAUUGGAAACAGGCGGGGAUGGGGGAGUGGGGGAUGGGGGGACAUGGGGGAGAGGGGACAUGAGGGCUAGUGGAGGGUGGCAGAGGGGACAGCAGUGGAAGUGAGGGAGUAGGAGAGGGGACAGCAGAGGGGCUGGGGGGUGGCAGAAGGGAAAGCAGAGGGGCAGGAGGGGC